GCCAGGCAUGGUGGCUCAUGCCUGUAAUCCCAGCACUUGGGGAGGCCGAGGCAGGAGGAUUGCUUGAGCUCAGGAGUUUGAACAGCCUGAGCAACACAGUGAGACCCUGUCUCUA
This 115-nucleotide non-coding RNA is filed under the name Chlorocebus sabaeus (green monkey). Lineage: Eukaryota; Metazoa; Chordata; Mammalia; Primates; Cercopithecidae. The record is from Rfam by way of RNAcentral.